UAAUACGGAGGGGGCGAGCGUUGUCCGAAUUUAUUGGGCGUAAAGCGCGUGUAGGCGGACUGUCAAGCCUGAGGUGAAAGGUUGGGGCUCAACCCCAUACAGUGCCUUGGGGACUGGUAGUCUGGAGGCAGGCAGAGGUGCGUGGAAUUCCUGGUGUAGCGGUGGAAUGCGUAGAUAUCAGGAAGAACACCCGUGGCGAAGGCGGCGCACUGGGCCUGUACUGACGCUGAGACGCGAAAGCGUGGGGAGCGAACGGGAUUAGAUACCCCGGUAGUCCACGCCGUAAACGAUGGAUGCUCGGUGUCGGGGGUAUUGACCCCCUCGGCGCCUAAGUCAACACGGUAAGCAUCCCGCCUGGGGAGUACGGCCGCAAGGUUGAAACUCAAAUGAAUUGACGG
RNAcentral lists this ribosomal RNA (398 nucleotides) under uncultured bacterium. RNAcentral describes it as "bacterial SSU rRNA". It matches the Rfam family "Bacterial small subunit ribosomal RNA", at positions 521 to 916 of the family's 1533-position model. The record is from RNAcentral.